This is a long non-coding RNA of Perognathus longimembris pacificus (Pacific pocket mouse), 156 nucleotides long. RefSeq lists it as uncharacterized. The transcript is spliced from 3 exons. The record is from RefSeq and is a predicted model, not a curated record. Lineage: Eukaryota; Metazoa; Chordata; Mammalia; Rodentia; Heteromyidae.
AAGGACAAGGUGGGGGGGGGGGGGGCAUGAGAGGAGGCCGCACUGGCCACUGGGCCCCAGCUGGGGCUGUGAUUGUCGGGCCGACGGCCUCCUCCUUCCUGGAGCAGAGGGGCCAGAUAUUGCACUUGACUGCAACACUAACAUGGAAACUUGGUC